Eriocheir sinensis (Chinese mitten crab) is the source of this 484-nucleotide long non-coding RNA. RefSeq lists it as uncharacterized. The transcript has 3 exons. Lineage: Eukaryota; Metazoa; Arthropoda; Malacostraca; Decapoda; Varunidae. The record is from RefSeq and is a predicted model, not a curated record.
GCAUCAGUUGCAUUUCAAACAUUGUGGUGGUCGGAUGUACUCGCUCCAACACAGUGACACUCCAUGUACAAGGUAGACUGAAUCUACUGCAAGGCAUCAUGGACCGGUUUCAUACAUAUGCAUCUCUGGUUGGCUGGCAUAAGCAUGAUCCUGUGAGCUAGUGUUACUCCUGGCAACUACUUUUGACUAGUUCUUCCUGUGAAACAGCUGUCUUUCAAAGAUGCCGAGGUCAUGCUGUGUGCCAGGAUGCAAGUCCAACUAUAAAUCUGCAGAUGCCUCUGCGUUCAGUUUCCCUAAAGAUGAACAGCGACGGCAGCAGUGGAUGAGGGCUAUCCACAGGAAAGACUUUACUCCAACAGAAAAUACAAUUGUUUGUUCCAAGCACUUCCAAAAACGUUUCAUCAUUACAGAAGACAGUAUGACACGCGCUGAUGGAACUGUAGUAACAGCAAAGAGAGGCAGGCCAUCUCUACAUAAAGAUGCU